UUAAGUUAUAUGGGUGUGGGGUUCUGGACAGAGAUCUGGACUACACACAGGCCAGGGGACCCUGGCAGGGAGGGGCAUGGGUGCCAGCUUCGCACAGCCUCUGUCCUGCUUCCCAGUAGAGAUGGAAGAGGGAAGUUGUGACCAGCUAGAGGGGAAGGACGAGGAAGAGGGAAGGAGAAGUGGUAGGCCUCAUAUCAUGAAGGGAACUCACGUCCCUUAUUUCACAUUCCCCAUCUCCUCUCUGAGGUGAUUUCCCGGGGAGAAAAGUAAAAGCUGAGGGCGUGGCCUGAGUAUGGGGCAUGAGGGAGAGAGCUUCAGGCAUUCUGCCUGUGUCCUCGCAUGAGCAGCCAGGCAGUAGAGGGGUGGAGGGUAAGAGGAACAAGUUACCCCAUCCACCCUUGGCUGCUUCCUGGCAGGCCCAGCAGUGAGAAAGCUUGGGGAUGGAGAAAGCAGGAUACCACUAGGCCAACCCCAGUACUGAAGAGCUAAGAGACCACCCCCAUCCUAGGUAACCCCAUGAAUCAAUGAGUCUAGAAAGGUUUCAGCAAGAGCAGCUGAAGAGCUGUGAAUAACACGUGGCCAAUGAGAACUUCAAAAGGAAAUCGUAAGUAAAGCUAUGAUAAUAAUGAUGAUGAUGACGCCCUUGUCUUAAGAGCUUUCUAAAUGCCAGGUAGCCUGCAGAGCACUUUCUUUUAUUCCACUCUAACCAGGUGACUAGAGCAAUCUACUCUUUCUAAGAUACAGAUCCAAUAACAUUCGUUGUGCCAUGUGACAAGGAUGUUAUGAUCCCCGUCUGGCAGAUUUUUAGGUCACACCAUGACUAAGUUCUGUCUACUGAGAGGAACCAGCCUCCUACUCCAGCCCCAGCAGGCACAGCCCAAAAAUUGGCGUUCAGAAUAAGGGAAGUGGUUUCUGAGGCUUCAAGCUGAACAGGAGCUUGCUGGCUAGCUCUGCGGACGGGCAGGACUUCUUCCCCAAGGGGCUGGCACAAGUCAGACCAUGCCUGCCACCAUUUUGAGCACCUUGGUCAGAGAGGACAGCCCCACCCCCACCCCAGGCCUCCACCCUUCCAGGAUGCCCCGUCCACCUGCUGCGUCUGGCUCCAGCCUGGCCAGCUCCACUCUCCCCUCCUACAAAACUUGGACUCUCACUGAGAGCUACUGAGCCUGGGAAGAUCAAGACGCACCCCUUUCACGAACCCACAGGUGGGUGAGCACACACAUGUCUACACACACAUGCGCGUGCACAGGCGAGAACAGUCAACCCCCACCCACUGAUUGUAAGGUGACUGACUCAUCCCGAUGUUCCCAGGACUUUCCUGUUUUUAGCACUUAAAAUCCUGCACUCCAGGAACCCUCUCUGCCCCUGGCAAAUGGGGAUGAUUGGUCACCCUAGCACUGAGGUGGUUGGGUCAUUCUUCAUGGACAGUGGAGGGCAUGGUGGUUUUCAGGAUGGACUUCUGUGUUGCCAGUGCUGAACACAGGGCCUGGCACAUGGUGGGUUUGUCACAGCUUUGCCACUUACCAGCCAUGGAAAAUCACUUUACCUCUCGGUGUCCUCAAGAGGAUGGGAUAAUAUCUUUCUCAUACAGGUACAUACACUAAUAAAAGUCAAAGUGCCACCUGAGUGUUAUAUAAAUGAGAGCCACUAUUACUGUUGUUGUUUUUGUUAUUGUAAUUAUAUAUGUGCAUGGAAGAAAAGUUUCUAGGUUUUUCCAUUUGUGAAACAAAAACAGUGGGAGGUAUAGGGCUACAAAAGCCACCCCUCUCCUAAGACUGUUCUUAGCAAGAACCCCCUCCUCACUUAAAAAAAGAAAAUAGCUUUAUUUUGAUAAAAUUCAUAAACUGCACAAUUUACCCACUUUAAGCAUUCAAUUCAGUGUUUUUUAGUAUAUUCAUAAGGUUGUGCACGCCUUACCACAAUCUAAGCUUAGGAUAUAUUCAUCCCCCUCUAAAAGAAGCCUCACACCCAUGAGCAGUCAUUCCCAAUUUCCCUCUUACCCUCAAGUCCUGCCCAGCCCAAGGCAACCACUAUUUUCUGUCUCUAUUAAUCUAUUAGAUUUGCCUAUUCUGGAAAUUUCAUACAGUGGAAUCAUAUAAUAUGUGGUCUUUUGUGUCUGGCUUCUUUCACUUAGCCUGAUGUUCUCAAGGUUCGUCCAUGCUAUAGUAGGGAUCAGAACUUCAUCCCUUUGCUUUGCCAACCUCCACUCCACUUCAAUCCAUUUUAGAUCUAUCCAGAAAGGGUUCAGUGCUCAACAGAGUCACAACAAGUUGGCACUUGUGGAGGGAGAGACCAAAUAAUUUUUUAUUUUUGCUAUGUCUAUUUCUUUUACUCCUUGUGUCUUAAAUUUUCUUUUGCCCUUAUUGCUUUUUCUUUAUCUUUUAAAGUUACAACAUGUGAAAUACAAAAAGAUAUGUUAGUUAUCAAGCAUAAUAAUAUAAUGAAUAAUUGUGAACUCACCCCUCACCCCAAAUUUCCUUCUCCAGAGAAAUACUGUUGGAGAAUGAGGAUAUAAGGUCCUAUCAAGCUUCCCAGCUUCCUUCUCAAUUUUUAACAGUUAUGUAUAAUAUUAUUCAUAUUUUCGUUUUGUUCUGUAACUGUAAGUCUUUUGUGCUUUGUCUGGAGGUUGAGUCUAAAAACUGAAUAGCAAAAAACAGCGUCACCUUUUCGUAAAUAUCACUCACAUGAGAAUUCUUGGCCCCUAAGAGAAGGAAAUGUGAACACAGUUCCCAAUCUUAAGAAGCUCAACGUCAAAUUUUUUAGAGACAGCAGAAAAUGAAAGGAUCCUCCCAGACCAACUGAGUCAUUUUACAGACGGGAAACUGAGAUUUAGGGAAGGAAAGAGAUUUCGCUUGAAGUCAUGAGGUCAACCCCCCACACUGUGCUCCAGCCACCUCCUGGAAUUUGAUAAAUAAGUUGUGUUAAAAUUUGAUAAAAAUAUCCUUUUUAAAGGGAAAUCAAACUGUGAAGGCUUCACAUUAAGGAUUCAAGGGCAUAAACUAAGAAAAUAAAACAAUAUUUUAAUUAUAAAAAGCAAAAGCCCUUUGUUUCCAAGUAUCUUUGACUUGGGGGAGUGAUUUCAUUGGCUGUUGAGCCUGGAGAGGGUUGGUCUUGUCAAACUUGGAGGUAAGCUUUCUCUCUCCUUCCGAUGUAUAAAGGUGUAUAAAGGGUCCGUGGCUCUGAGAGGAGGUGUGCGACCUUCACAGCUCACAGGUGUGAGACAGGAAGCAACAAGUCUUGGGGCCUCAACAGGUAUUCUGCAGCACCUUAUCUGUCUUUAUUGAGUCACCAGGUACAAAGGUACCUGUGCAGAGAGGGCACCAAGUCAGCCGAGGAACUCCCUGGCAGCAGGCUCCUCCUCUCUCUCUGGGCUUAGGAGAGGGGGAGUUAGGCCAGAGGGAGCCUGCUGCUGCCCAUGGACUCCGCUCAGGGAAAGCCCUAGCCCCUGAGCAUCAUGAAAUGUGAAAAUAAUAAUAGUUAAUGUUUAUUUAGCACUUCCUGUCUGUCACAUUUACUUAGGUUAUUUCACCUAACUCCGGAAGAUAUCCAAUAAAGUAGGUGCUAUUAUUAUCCUCAUUUGUACAGAUGAGGAAAUUGAGGUCCAAGAAGGUUUAAGUGACUCGUCCAAAGGCUUAGAACUAGCAGGUGGAGAGCAGCAUUCAGACCCAGGCCGUGAGGCACCGCCAUCCAUGCUGGGAACCAUUUUAUCAUACUGGUCUUGGACCCUGAGUGCCAGCUUCAAUCCUACGUCUGCUAUGACCUGGCUGUUUGUCUCUCUGAGCCUCAGUUCCCUCCCCUGGAAGAUGGAGAAGCGCACCUUCUGCUCUGUAGGCUGGAGGACCAAAUGGUUCAGCCCAGGGCCUGGCCCUCUGGUUCCAGCCCUCGUCGUCACCCCACCCCACCCCUCGCUUCACUGGAAGCUGCAGCAUGGCUGAACAAUAGUAGCUCAGGCUGUGCUCUUGCUACCUUCUCUUGGCUGCCGUGAGGUCUGCAAUUUCAGGUCAAGUGGACAGGCCACUUCUUGCUAAAUGAAGCAGUUUGCCUCUCAGUUCAAAUGGCAUCUGGAAAUAAAAGCCUGCCCUGACCUUAGCAGUACAACAUGGAGACUAAGCGUCUUUGGAGGCCAGUGGCCCUGGGUUCAGAUUCCCAUUCUGUCACUUUUACUGUGUAACCCUGGACAAAUCUCUUUACCUCUCUGAGCCCCUGCUUCCAAAUCUGUAAAAUGGAUGUAGUAAUAGCACUCAAAGGGCUAUAUGAGGACUGGUGGGAAGCCAUAUAGAGUAUGGUGAGCUCCAAUAAAUGGUAGCUAUCAUUUUUAUUACACUGUAUAUUGCAAUUACUGGCAUUUAGCACAA
This is a long non-coding RNA of Hipposideros armiger (great roundleaf bat), 4355 nucleotides long. RefSeq lists it as uncharacterized. NCBI's taxonomy places the organism in Eukaryota, Metazoa, Chordata, Mammalia, Chiroptera, Hipposideridae. The transcript is spliced from 3 exons. The record is from RefSeq and is a predicted model, not a curated record.